RNAcentral lists this ribosomal RNA (224 nucleotides) under Agathobacter rectalis. RNAcentral's name for it is "partial 23S ribosomal RNA". It matches the Rfam family "Bacterial large subunit ribosomal RNA", at positions 2072 to 2306 of the family's 2925-position model. The record is from RNAcentral. Lineage: Bacteria; Bacillati; Bacillota; Clostridia; Lachnospirales; Lachnospiraceae.
GCGAUGGGACGAAAAGACCCCGUGAACCUUUACUAUAGCUUAUCAUUGAAUCUGGGCACGUGAUGUGUAGGAUAGGUCGGAGGCUUUGAAGCAGGUACGCCAGUAUUUGUGGAGCCGCUGUUGAAAUACGACCCUUUAUUUGUUUGGAUUCUAACCCGUGGAACGGGGACAUUGAUUGGUGGGUAGUUUGACUGGGGUGGUCGCCUCCAAAAGCGUAACGGAGG